GAAGUGGGGAUGACGUCAAAUCAUCAUGCCCCUUAUGACCUGGGCUACACACGUGCUACAAUGGUUGGUACAACGAGUUGCGAGUCGGUGACGGCGAGCUAAUCUCUUAAAGCCAAUCUCAGUUCGGAUUGUAGGCUGCAACUCGCCUACAUGAAGUCGGAAUCGCUAGUAAUCGCGGAUCAGCACGCCGCGGUGAAUACGUUCCCGGGCCUU
This 213-nucleotide ribosomal RNA is filed under the name uncultured Streptococcus sp. RNAcentral describes it as "partial 16S ribosomal RNA". It matches the Rfam family "Bacterial small subunit ribosomal RNA", at positions 1170 to 1382 of the family's 1533-position model. Lineage: Bacteria; Bacillati; Bacillota; Bacilli; Lactobacillales; Streptococcaceae. The record is from RNAcentral.